ACUUCACCGAAACACACAAAUGAGUAGUGCUUCUUGAAGGUUUCGACGAGAGGAAUCCAAAAAUGAUGUCAGUUUUUCAAGAUGAUGAACGUGUUGGCCGGAUUUUGGCAACACAGCCGCGGCGAGGGUGAAAACCCAUUUUUUUAAGUACAACGAUUGGCAAUUUCAAGCAUAGGUAAUGGGAGAGGGUGUUUUGUGGAGUCCAAAUAUGGUCUCAGUUUUCAUUGGGGAUAGUCGUGGUGGCCGGAAUCUUGAUCAAAAGGUGGAGGUGUGAUUUUUGACAGAGAGGAAUAUGGCGUUUAAGUUUGCGAUUCAAGUUGGAAAUGAAAGAGAAGAUCACAACGAUCACAAAUGUGGUCUCGGUUUUACACGAAACUUGGUAUAAUGGUUAUAAUUGAAGAGAGAAGGUCAAGAAGAUAUAAGAAUGGAGGCGGAGGCUAGUCUACGAAGAAGAUGAGGAUGCGUACUUCUAUUCUCCUUUUUUUUUUUUUU
Molecule: long non-coding RNA, 492 nt
Filed under: Cicer arietinum (chickpea)
Lineage: Eukaryota; Viridiplantae; Streptophyta; Magnoliopsida; Fabales; Fabaceae
Description: long non-coding RNA (CARI_LNC000652)
Source: RNAcentral